This 87-nucleotide transfer RNA is filed under the name Candidatus Solibacter sp. Its description in RNAcentral is "tRNA-Leu". It matches the Rfam family "tRNA". From Rfam's summary of the family: Transfer RNA (tRNA) molecules are approximately 80 nucleotides in length. Their secondary structure includes four short double-helical elements and three loops (D, anti-codon, and T loops). Lineage: Bacteria; Pseudomonadati; Acidobacteriota; Terriglobia; Bryobacterales; Solibacteraceae. The record is from RNAcentral.
GCGAACGUGGCGGAAUUGGCAGACGCACCAGACUUAGGAUCUGGCGGGGGAAACCCCGUGGGGGUUCAACUCCCCCCGUUCGCACCA